Mustela lutreola (European mink) is the source of this 839-nucleotide long non-coding RNA. RefSeq lists it as uncharacterized. The record is from RefSeq and is a predicted model, not a curated record. NCBI's taxonomy places the organism in Eukaryota, Metazoa, Chordata, Mammalia, Carnivora, Mustelidae. The transcript has 2 exons.
GCACAAAAGAAUCAGAGCGAGAGCGAGAGCCAGAGAGAGAGGGGAUGCUAAGAAACAAAACAAGAGAUUGCAAAAAGAAGAUAAUCAGAUAAAAAGAAAGGAGAAUGUAGAAAAUGCAAUUGGAAAAGAAUUUCAAGAAAAUAAGGAUAAAGGACAGGGAGGGCUGACAGGAGGGCAAGAGGGAGGGAGGAAAGGAAGGAUUUUUGGUUUCUAAUUCCCUGGCGAAGCUGCUGGCGUCCGCGCCCUUAACGCCACAGCCUUCCAAGUUGAGGCGAAAGCCACCUCCUCGGGCCUGCGUCGCAUCCAACUUACUCCAAGUUUUCUGGUGACUCCUACAGGGCCCCUUUCCGUCCCCGCCCCCCCCCCCUCCCCUGGAGAGAUUGACAGUCGCGUGGAGGAGGCUUUUCCAGGCACAGCCUUUCUCAUGGUAAUCAGCCCCCAGCAUCACCUCCCGGCUGCGGCCGCUCCCGCUCCUUGCGCAGCUCGCGGACCCCGGGGACCGGAAACAGGGCGGCGGGCGGGGAGCAGGCUAGCUAGCGACCCAGGCUCAACUCCGAAUGGAUUGGAUUGCAAGUUUGCACGUGAGAAAACCGUUUGGCUUGACUUGGACCCCUGCCGCCCCCCACCCCCUCCACACACACUCCAAUCCAGGGGUCUCCCUUAUCACCCUUUGCUUGCAACUCUAAAAGAAGUUGCCCACCUCCUGCGUAACAACACAGGGUUGAAAUAAUUCCUCUAGAUGAAAGAUCAAUUCCGUUUCAAAACGAGAAUACGUUUUCUUUUUUUUUUUUUUAUUUUCUCCACAUGGUACAAAAUAAACAAAAUUUGCUAUAAAAAAA